GCCGGAGUGGCGGAAUGGCAGACGCAGGGGACUUAAAAUCCUCUGCCCGCGAGGGCGUGCGGGUUCGAGUCCCGCCUCCGGCACCA
This 86-nucleotide transfer RNA is filed under the name Bacillota bacterium. RNAcentral's name for it is "Firmicutes bacterium (anaerobic digester metagenome) tRNA-Leu". It matches the Rfam family "tRNA". Rfam says of the family: Transfer RNA (tRNA) molecules are approximately 80 nucleotides in length. Their secondary structure includes four short double-helical elements and three loops (D, anti-codon, and T loops). Lineage: Bacteria; Bacillati; Bacillota. The record is from RNAcentral.